Molecule: ribosomal RNA, 465 nt
Filed under: uncultured bacterium
Lineage: Bacteria
Description: partial 16S ribosomal RNA
Rfam family: Bacterial small subunit ribosomal RNA
Source: RNAcentral
CCUACGGGCGGCUGCAGUAGGGAAUUUUUCACAAUGGGCGAAAGCCUGAUGCAGCAAUGCCGCGUGAAUGAUGAAGGUCUUAUGGAUUGUAAGAUUCUUUUAUUUGGGCAGAAACACUAAAGUAGUAAAUGACUUUAGUCUGACUGUCCCAUUUGAAUAAGUAUCGGCUAACUAUGUGCCAGCAGCCGCGGUAAUACAUAGGAUGCAAGCGUUAUCCGGAUUUACUGGGCGUAAGACGAGCGCAGGCGGGUUAACAAGUGUGUUAUGAAAGGCUGUUGCUUAACGAAAGUUUGUAUCAAAAACUGGUAAUCUAGAGUGUAGUAGAGAGUGGUGGAAGUCCAUGUGGAGCGGUGGAAUGCGUAGAGAUAUGGAAGAACACCAGUGGAGAAGGCGAGAACUUAGGCUAUCACUGACGCUUAGGCUCGAAAGUGUGGGGAGCAAAUAGGAUUAGAUACCCUAGUAGUC